Molecule: ribosomal RNA, 140 nt
Filed under: uncultured Stenotrophomonas sp.
Lineage: Bacteria; Pseudomonadati; Pseudomonadota; Gammaproteobacteria; Lysobacterales; Lysobacteraceae
Description: partial 16S ribosomal RNA
Rfam family: Bacterial small subunit ribosomal RNA
Source: RNAcentral
CCAUACCGCGUGGGUGAAGAAGGCCUUCGGGUUGUAAAGCCCUUUUGUUGGGAAAGAAAUCCAUCUGGUUAAUACCCGGAUGGGAUGACGGUACCCAAAGAAUAAGCACCGGCUAACUUCCUGCCAGCAGCCGCGGUAAU